RNAcentral lists this ribosomal RNA (440 nucleotides) under uncultured bacterium. RNAcentral's name for it is "partial 16S ribosomal RNA". It matches the Rfam family "Bacterial small subunit ribosomal RNA", at positions 338 to 795 of the family's 1533-position model. The record is from RNAcentral.
CCUACGGGAGGCAGCAGUGGGGAAUAUUGCACAAUGGGGGAAACUCUGAUGCAGCGACGCCGCGUGAGUGAAGAAGUAAUUCGUUAUGUAAAGCUCUAUCAGCAGGGAAGAAAAUGACUGUACCUGAGUAAGAAUCCCCGGCUAACUACGUGCCUGCAGCCGCGGCAAUACGUAGGGGGCAAGCGUGAUCCGGAUUUACUGGGUGGAAAGGGAGCGUAUACGGCAGUGAAAGUCUGGAGUGAAAGGCGGGGGCUCAACCCCCGGACUGCUCUGGAAACUGUACGGCUGGAGUGCAGGAGAGGUAAGUGGAAUUCGUAGUGUAGCGGUGAAAUGCGUAGAUAUUAGGAAGAACACCAGUGGCGAAGGCGGCUUACUGGACUGUAACUGACGUUGAGGCUCGAAAGCGUGGGGAGCAAACAGGAUUAGAUACCCCAGUAGUC